This 253-nucleotide ribosomal RNA is filed under the name uncultured bacterium. Its description in RNAcentral is "partial 16S ribosomal RNA". It matches the Rfam family "Bacterial small subunit ribosomal RNA", at positions 524 to 776 of the family's 1533-position model. The record is from RNAcentral.
UACGUAGGGUGCAAGCGUUGCUCGGAAUCACUGGGCGUAAAGCGCACGUAGGCGGCCUCUUAAGUCGGUGGUGAAAUCCUGGAGCUCAACUCCAGAACUGCCUUCGAUACUGGGAGUCUCGAGUCCGGGAGAGGUGAGUGGAACUGCGAGUGUAGAGGUGAAAUUCGUAGAUAUUCGCAAGAACACCAGUGGCGAAGGCGGCUCACUGGCCCGGUACUGACGCUGAGGUGCGAAAGCGUGGGGAGCAAACAGG